Molecule: transfer RNA, 73 nt
Filed under: Ipomoea nil (Japanese morning glory)
Lineage: Eukaryota; Viridiplantae; Streptophyta; Magnoliopsida; Solanales; Convolvulaceae
Rfam family: tRNA
About the family: Transfer RNA (tRNA) molecules are approximately 80 nucleotides in length. Their secondary structure includes four short double-helical elements and three loops (D, anti-codon, and T loops).
Source: Rfam by way of RNAcentral
GCGCCCAUGGCCUAAUGGAUAAAGCGCUUGAUUUCUUAUCAAGCAAUUGUGGGUUUGAGCCCCACUUGGCGUG